This 465-nucleotide ribosomal RNA is filed under the name uncultured bacterium. Its description in RNAcentral is "partial 16S ribosomal RNA". It matches the Rfam family "Bacterial small subunit ribosomal RNA", at positions 338 to 795 of the family's 1533-position model. The record is from RNAcentral.
CCUACGGGUGGCAGCAGUGGGGAAUAUUGCGCAAUGGGCGAAAGCCUGACGCAGCGACGCCGCGUGAGGGAUGAAGGUCUUCGGAUCGUAAACCUCCGUCAGCAGGGAAGUACGGUCACUGUGCUAAUCAGCAGUGAAUUGACGGUACCUGCAAAGGACGCACAGGCUAACUCCGUGCCAGCAGCCGCGGCAAUACGGAGGGUGCGAGCGUUAAUCGGAAUUACUGGGCGUAAAGCGCUCGUAGGCGGUAUGUCAAGUCAAGGGUGAAAUCCCCGGGCUCAACGUGGGAACUGCCUUUGAAACUGGCAGACUGGAGUGUGUGAGAGGUUAGUGGAAUUCGAGGUGUAGGAGUGAAAUCCGUAGAUAUCUGGAGGAACAUCAGUGGCGAAGGCGACUAUCUGGCACAUAACUGACGCUGAGGAGCGAAAGCGUGGGUAGCAAACAGGAUUAGAUACCCGUGUAGUC